RNAcentral lists this ribosomal RNA (1289 nucleotides) under Vibrio sp. Its description in RNAcentral is "bacterial SSU rRNA". It matches the Rfam family "Bacterial small subunit ribosomal RNA", at positions 202 to 1477 of the family's 1533-position model. The record is from RNAcentral. Lineage: Bacteria; Pseudomonadati; Pseudomonadota; Gammaproteobacteria; Vibrionales; Vibrionaceae.
AGGGGGACCUUCGGGCCUCUCGCGUCAGGAUAUGCCUAGGUGGGAUUAGCUAGUUGGUGAGGUAAGGGCUCACCAAGGCGACGAUCCCUAGCUGGUCUGAGAGGAUGAUCAGCCACACUGGAACUGAGACACGGUCCAGACUCCUACGGGAGGCAGCAGUGGGGAAUAUUGCACAAUGGGCGCAAGCCUGAUGCAGCCAUGCCGCGUGUGUGAAGAAGGCCUUCGGGUUGUAAAGCACUUUCAGUCGUGAGGAAGGUAGUGUAGUUAAUAGCUGCAUUAUUUGACGUUAGCGACAGAAGAAGCACCGGCUAACUCCGUGCCAGCAGCCGCGGUAAUACGGAGGGUGCGAGCGUUAAUCGGAAUUACUGGGCGUAAAGCGCAUGCAGGUGGUUUGUUAAGUCAGAUGUGAAAGCCCGGGGCUCAACCUCGGAAUUGCAUUUGAAACUGGCAGACUAGAGUACUGUAGAGGGGGGUAGAAUUUCAGGUGUAGCGGUGAAAUGCGUAGAGAUCUGAAGGAAUACCGGUGGCGAAGGCGGCCCCCUGGACAGAUACUGACACUCAGAUGCGAAAGCGUGGGGAGCAAACAGGAUUAGAUACCCUGGUAGUCCACGCCGUAAACGAUGUCUACUUGGAGGUUGUGGCCUUGAGCCGUGGCUUUCGGAGCUAACGCGUUAAGUAGACCGCCUGGGGAGUACGGUCGCAAGAUUAAAACUCAAAUGAAUUGACGGGGGCCCGCACAAGCGGUGGAGCAUGUGGUUUAAUUCGAUGCAACGCGAAGAACCUUACCUACUCUUGACAUCCAGAGAACUUUCCAGAGAUGGAUUGGUGCCUUCGGGAACUCUGAGACAGGUGCUGCAUGGCUGUCGUCAGCUCGUGUUGUGAAAUGUUGGGUUAAGUCCCGCAACGAGCGCAACCCUUAUCCUUGUUUGCCAGCGAGUAAUGUCGGGAACUCCAGGGAGACUGCCGGUGAUAAACCGGAGGAAGGUGGGGACGACGUCAAGUCAUCAUGGCCCUUACGAGUAGGGCUACACACGUGCUACAAUGGCGCAUACAGAGGGCGGCCAACUUGCGAAAGUGAGCGAAUCCCAAAAAGUGCGUCGUAGUCCGGAUUGGAGUCUGCAACUCGACUCCAUGAAGUCGGAAUCGCUAGUAAUCGUGGAUCAGAAUGCCACGGUGAAUACGUUCCCGGGCCUUGUACACACCGCCCGUCACACCAUGGGAGUGGGCUGCUACAGAUGUAGGUAGUUUAACCUUCGGGGGGACUCUUACCACUUUGUGGUUCAUGACUG